Molecule: transfer RNA, 75 nt
Filed under: archaeon
Lineage: Archaea
Also listed under: 1 other name
Description: tRNA-Gly
Rfam family: tRNA
About the family: Transfer RNA (tRNA) molecules are approximately 80 nucleotides in length.
Source: RNAcentral
GCACCGUUGGUAUAGCCUGGUCUAUCAUUGGGGAUUUCCAAUCCUUAGACAUGCGUUCAAAUCGCAUACGGUGCA